GACGAAGCACACAAACGUUAUUCGGAAUUACUGGGCUUAAAGGGUGCGUAGGCGGCGCGGAAAGUAGGGUGUGAAAUCCCUCGGCUCAACCGAGGAAUUGCGCCCUAAACUACCGUGCUCGAGGGAGAUAGAGGUGAGCGGAACUUAGGGUGGGGCGGUGAAAUGCGUUGAUAUCCUAAGGAACACCGGUGGCGAAAGCGGCUCACUGGAUCUCUUCUGACGCUGAGGCACGAAAGCCAGGGGAGCGAACGGG
Molecule: ribosomal RNA, 253 nt
Filed under: uncultured bacterium
Lineage: Bacteria
Description: partial 16S ribosomal RNA
Rfam family: Bacterial small subunit ribosomal RNA
Source: RNAcentral